Non-coding RNA from Musa acuminata subsp. malaccensis (wild Malaysian banana), 427 nucleotides. NCBI's taxonomy places the organism in Eukaryota, Viridiplantae, Streptophyta, Magnoliopsida, Zingiberales, Musaceae. The record is from RefSeq and is a predicted model, not a curated record.
CUUGCGAGAGUUUUCCUUGAGGAGCAGAAGAUGGAAGCUCUUCGGGUGGUGAUUGAAGAGGAGAAAGAUGAGGUAGUGCACGACCCUUAACAGAUUGAAAGGAGGAUUCUUUUAGAGCUUGGGCUUGCAUCAUGAUUGGAGAGUUACAUGAAAUGAACGAAAGACCAGACGACUUGAUUGUCAGCUUGAUGAUAUUUUUUUUAUAAUAUACAUUCCUUGAAGAUUAUAUAUUAUAAAUGAUUUGUAACUUUAUAAGAUGAAUUUUGGGGUGAUGGUUUACUCACAGUGCAAUUUACUAGCUUGACAAAGUCUAUUACACGUUGGUUUGGCACAUGUAAUAUAUUACACUAUCUGGAUGUAUUUUAUUGAGCUACAUGAUGUCUGACUAAGACAGUAAUCCCACAUAUUAUUAUUACAUGUUGUAAGA